This 192-nucleotide ribosomal RNA is filed under the name Triticum aestivum (bread wheat). RNAcentral's name for it is "partial small subunit ribosomal RNA". Lineage: Eukaryota; Viridiplantae; Streptophyta; Magnoliopsida; Poales; Poaceae. The record is from RNAcentral.
AUGACCGUGACGCUCCAGGAUAGUGCUAUGAUCACCGGUCUUCCUAUCAAUGGGAAUCCUCUAUGUAUGAACACCGAUUCUGAUGGGUGGCGCGUGCAGAUGCAUGCCCUUAUCGGUAUGGUUCCUCCGGAGCCUCGGGAACCAGAAGCAGAAGACAAGAAGAAGGAAAGAGUCGCAGACUAUGUUUGCUGA